AGAAUCAACGCUGGCGGCGUGCCUAACACAUGCAAGUCGCACGAGAAAGGGACUUCGGUCCUGAGUAAAGUGGCGCACGGGUGAGUAACACGUGAAUCAUCUACCUCCGAGUGGGGAAUAACCUAGAGAAAUCUGGGCUAAUACCGCAUAACACUUACGAGUCAAAGCAGCAAUGCGCUUGGAGAGGAGUUCGCGGCAGAUUAGUUAGUUGGCGGGGUAAUGGCCCACCAAGACGAUGAUCUGUAUCCGGCCUGAGAGGGCGCACGGACACACUGGAACUGAAACACGGUCCAGACUCCUACGGAGGCAGCAGUGGGGAAUUUUGCGCAAUGGGGGAAACCCUGACGCAGCAACGCCGCGUGGAGGAUGGAAAUAUCUUGGUAUGUAAACUCCUUUCGAUGGGGAAGAUAAUGACGGUACCCAUAGAAGAAGCCCGGCUAACUUCGCGCCAGCAGCCGC
This 459-nucleotide ribosomal RNA is filed under the name uncultured bacterium. RNAcentral's name for it is "SSU rRNA". It matches the Rfam family "Bacterial small subunit ribosomal RNA", at positions 26 to 518 of the family's 1533-position model. The record is from RNAcentral.